CUUGAACCCACGAACCGUGAGAUCGUGACCCCAGCCGAAGGCGGAUGCUUAACUCAAUGCGUCACCCAGGUGCCCCUAUGCUGCACAUAUUUAAAGUGCGAUUUGGUCAUCUUUGACAUGUAUAUGCAACCAUGACAUAAUCAACCACAAAGUAAUGAACACAUCCAUCAUCCCCAAAAGUUUCUUUGCGCCCAAUUAAGAUGUUUCCCUCCUGCCCCUGGCCACACCGUCUCCACCCUUGUGCUCAGGGAAUCACUGGUCUGCUUUCUGUUAUUCUAAAUUAGUGUGUGUAUUUUUUAUAAGGGUGAAAUCAGAUGGACAUACUGGCUAAUGCCAUCAGGAACAUUUUCCUGUGAGACUUAAAAUCUUUAACAGCUUUAUUGAGAUAUAAUUAAUAUCCCACAAAUUCUCCCAGUGAGAGUAUACAAUUCAGUGGUUUCCGUAAAUUCACAGUUGUGCAACUAUCAUCGUAACUGAAUUCCAGAACACUUCUAUUGCCCCAAAAUAACCCUGCACCCAUGAGCAGCCACCCCCACCUCCCUGCCUCCCUCCAGUGCUGGACAACCACCAAUACUCUUUCUGUCUCUACAGAUUUCCCUAUUCUGGACGUUUCGUGCAAAUGGAAUCACACAAAGUUCUUUGGGAUCUUAAUAUUUUUUGAAACCCCAUGUUAAAUGGGUGCUCGGGGCUCUGAACAUUCCCUUGUUGGAUAUUUUGGUUAACUUGAACGUUCAUCUGCUUUGGGAGGACCACCCACCUCGCCCCCACUGGAAGAUCCGGAGGUGGGAUCAUAAAGGAUGAGUGGAAAGUGGGGCGCCCGCCCUGUCUUUGUUCCCAGCACCCCGUUGGAAGAGUGGGUUAUCACGCACUCCUCCAGAGACUCGGGCCCCUCCUCGGCUCAUGCAGGUUCCCCCGGUGCUGUCACCGUCCGCUCGUAGAGGCACUCGGCAAACGUUGGCUGGUAACACACAGAUCGGGGCCGGCUUCCCCUUGCCUGUGUGGGGUCAUAUGUUGCCCACGCUCGGGACGGAGCUGGGGUUCCAGCAAAUGCUCCUGCCAUGGCCUUUCAGGCAGGAACCCCUCCUGUGUUGCUAAUAAGGACGAUCAUUGGAAAGAGACACCGAGAUCGGGUGGAAAAAGUGAGCGGUCCAGCUUGGAAGGAGGAUUUCCUGCACAAUCGAAACCCCAACCCAGACCAAGCCUGAGUAAGGCCGCAAAGUAAUGGGGGUAGGGUUUUCAUGUGACUUGUCCACUGACUCCCAAAGGUGGUUCCCAUAAUGCCCUCAGCCAUGGCAGACCACUGCGUGUCCCCACCCCACCCCCCGCCCCCAAUGCCAGUUCUGG
RNAcentral lists this long non-coding RNA (1344 nucleotides) under Lynx pardinus (Iberian lynx). The record is from RNAcentral. Lineage: Eukaryota; Metazoa; Chordata; Mammalia; Carnivora; Felidae.